This 451-nucleotide ribosomal RNA is filed under the name uncultured bacterium. RNAcentral describes it as "partial 16S ribosomal RNA". It matches the Rfam family "Bacterial small subunit ribosomal RNA", at positions 29 to 523 of the family's 1533-position model. The record is from RNAcentral.
AACGAACGCCGGCGGCAGGCUUAACACAUGCAAGUCAAACGCCUAUAGCAAUAUAGGAGUGGCGGACGGGUGAGUAAUACUUGGGAACGUACCUUAGAGUCUGGGAUAACGUCGGGAAACUGACGCUAAUACCGGAUAUUCCCUCCGGGGGAAAGAUUUAUCGCUCUAAGAUCGGCCCAAGCCAGAUUAGCUAGUUGGUGGGGUAAUGGCCUACCAAGGCAACGAUCUGUAGCUGUUCUGAGAGGAAGACCAGCCACACUGGAACUGAGACACGGUCCAGACUCCUACGAGAGGCAGCAGUGGGGAAUAUUGGACAAUGGGGGAAACCCUGAUCCAGCCAUGCCGCGUGAGUGAUGAAGGCCUUAGGGUUGUAAAGCUCUUUUGCCAGGGAAGAUGAUGACGGUACCUGGAGAAUAAGCACCGGCUAACUUCGUGCCAGCCGCCGCGGUAA